GAUGAACGCUGGCGGCGUGCCUAGUACAUGCAAGUCGAGCGAACAGACGAGGAGCUUGCUCCUCUGACGUUAGCGGCGGACGGGUGAGUAACACGUGGAUAACCUACCUAUAAGACUGGGAUAACUUCGGGAAACCGGAGCUAAUACCGGAUAAUAUAUUGAACCGCAUGGUUCAAUAGUGAAAGACGGUUUUGCUGUCACUUAUAGAUGGAUCCGCGCCGCAUUAGCUAGUUGGUAAGGUAACGGUUUACCAAGGCGACGAUGCGUAGCCGACCUGAGAGGGUGAUCGGCCACACUGGAACUGAGACACGGUCCAGACUCCUACGGGAGGCAGCAGUAGGGAAUCUUCCGCAAUGGGCGAAAGCCUGACGGAGCAACGCCGCGUGAGUGAUGAAGGUCUUCGGAUCGUAAAACUCUGUUAUUAGGGAAGAACAAAUGUGUAAGUAACUAUGCACGUCUUGACGGUACCUAAUCAGAAAGCCACGGCUAACUACGUG
This 497-nucleotide ribosomal RNA is filed under the name uncultured bacterium. RNAcentral describes it as "partial 16S ribosomal RNA". It matches the Rfam family "Bacterial small subunit ribosomal RNA", at positions 28 to 507 of the family's 1533-position model. The record is from RNAcentral.